GACGAACGCUGGCGGCGUGCUUAACACAUGCAAGUCGAACGGACAGGCCAUGCUUUUGUGGCGUGCUCGAGUGGCGAAUGGGUGAGUAACACGUGAGUAACCUGCCCUUGACUUUGGGGUAACUUCAGGAAACUGGGGCUAAUACCGGAGAGGAGAUCCUGCUGCAUAGGGGGGGAUGGAAAGAUUCGGCGGUGGGGGAUGGACUCGCGGCUUAUCAGCUUGUUGGUGGGGUAGUGGCUUUCCAAGGCUUUGACGGGUAGCCGGCCUGAGAGGGUGACCGGCCACAUUGGGACUGAGAUACGGCCCAGACUCCUACGGGAGGCAGCAGUGGGGAAUAUUGCACAAUGGGCGGAAGCCUGAUGCAGCAACGCCGCGUGCGGGAUGACGGCCUUCGGGUUGUAAACCGCUUUCGCCUGUGACGAAGCGUGAGUGACGGUAAUGGGUAAAGAAGCACCGGCUAACUACGUG
Molecule: ribosomal RNA, 468 nt
Filed under: uncultured bacterium
Lineage: Bacteria
Description: partial 16S ribosomal RNA
Rfam family: Bacterial small subunit ribosomal RNA
Source: RNAcentral